CCUCUCGAAAACUGAAAAAUGAAAAAGGAACAAAGAACUCUAGCACCCUCAGGCUCUCGCAGCCCCGCAGCCACCGGAGCCCCCGUAGUCACCGCAGCUCCUGCAGCCCCACUUCGUUGUCAUCGCGGAACUCUCCUCCGCUGGGAAGCUCCGUCGCGAAGCAACUAUACGGAGCAAGAAAAGUGUGGGUUCUGAGUACAUUGCCAUUGGGGUGCUUUACCAGGAGGUAGAACUGCAGCAGGAGGACCUUUAAGAUUGUGUUCUGAUAUUGUCAAUAGAGAAGCUCAAUUAUUCAAUGGUCAAUUAGCAUCGCCGGUUAGUUCUUUGCAAGCCAUACUUUCUGGUUCUACCUUUCAAUUCAUGAUUUCUAUGCUGCACUGCUCAAGAUCAUACAAAAUCCUUUUAGUUCAGGUGCAAGAUUUACAUUUUAUUAUUUCUGACUAUUUCUUUUGAGUGGAGCAGUGAUACACACUCGCUUUCUUAUCAGCAGUCAUGGAGAAUGAUGGCAAAGAGUCGUAAGAUGGUGAUUAAUCUGAGAAUUUAAGUGUUGAAUAUGAGUACAAUUCUGAUGAAAGUGAUGAUAUGGUGGAUGUAACUGUAGAUGAAGUAGAGGCAGAUAUAAUUAAUGUUGAUGGUUUUGAAAAGUUGAUAACUGAUUUGACCAUCAAAGACAUAUGGGGAUUGGUGUUUGAUACAGAAUCUCAAGUUUGUGAAUUUUAUGUCAAAUAUGCCAAGUGCUAUGGUUUGUGUCCCAAAAAGACUUGAAGAUGGUGGAUGCUAAUGCCAACAUUAAUACAAGACAAUUGGUUUGCAAUAAAGGAGGAGAAAGACAUUGGAAACACCUUGAAAGGGAUAAUCGGCAAAGGGAAGCAUAAGGCAAUUACUCGUGUCAACUGCAGGGCGAGGAUUUGUUUCAUUUGUCACUAUAGAAUGGUUAAGUGGAAAGUCAGUGUGUUUGAGAGUGAACACAAUCAUCUACUGUGCCCACCUAAGUACAGGCAUCUUAUUCCCGCGAAUCGUGGGCUUAAUGAGGCCGAUAAAACACAAACAAACAGCUUGCAAGCAUGUGGUGUUAAAACUUGUCACAUAAUGGGUUACAUGGUUUCCCAAAAAGGUGGAUACGAUAAAGUGGGUUUUACCAGCAAAGACCUACAUAACUACAUUAGUAAGACUAGACGUGGCAAAGUGAAAGACGGUGAUGCAUUUGCUGCGUUGGCCUAUUUAUUGUCCAAGGCAGAUAGUGACCCGUUAUUUCAAUAGGUGAAGCUUAAUUUUCACUCUAGCAUUUUGAUUCUUUGAACCACUUUUAUAUUGUAAGCUGAACAAGUAAUGUUUUUGGUUAACCAGAAUGAGCAAUCACUUAAUUAAGGAUGUUGAUUUUUUGUUA
Molecule: long non-coding RNA, 1387 nt
Organism: Arachis ipaensis
Lineage: Eukaryota; Viridiplantae; Streptophyta; Magnoliopsida; Fabales; Fabaceae
Source: RefSeq, a predicted model, not a curated record